This 539-nucleotide ribosomal RNA is filed under the name uncultured bacterium. RNAcentral's name for it is "partial 16S ribosomal RNA". It matches the Rfam family "Bacterial small subunit ribosomal RNA", at positions 355 to 883 of the family's 1533-position model. The record is from RNAcentral.
UGGGGAAUUUUGGACAAUGGGCGAAANCCUGAUCCAGCAAUGCCGCGUGUGUGAAGAAGGCCUUCGGGUUGUAAAGCACUUUUGUCCGGAAAGAAAUCCUUGGCUCUAAUACAGUCGGGGGAUGACGGUACCGGAAGAAUAAGCACCGGCUAACUACGUGCCAGCAGCCGCGGUAAUACGUAGGGUGCAAGCGUUAAUCGGAAUUACUGGGCGUAAAGCGUGCGCAGGCGGUUUGCUAAGACCGAUGUGAAAUCCCCGGGCUCAACCUGGGAACUGCAUUGGUGACUGGCAGGCUAGAGGUAUGGCAGAGGGGGGUAGAAUUCCACGUGUAGCAGUGAAAUGCGUAGGAGAUGUGGAGGAAUACCGAUGGCGAAGGCAGCCCCCUGGGCCAAUACUGACGCUCAUGCACGAAAGCGUGGGGAGCAAACAGGAUUAGAUACCCCUGGUAGUCCACGCCCUAAAGCGAUGUCAACUAGUUGUUGGGGAUUCAUUUCCUUAGUAACGUAGCUAACGCGUGAAGUUGACCGCCUGGGGAGUAC